RNAcentral lists this ribosomal RNA (330 nucleotides) under uncultured bacterium. RNAcentral describes it as "bacterial SSU rRNA". It matches the Rfam family "Bacterial small subunit ribosomal RNA", at positions 568 to 898 of the family's 1533-position model. The record is from RNAcentral.
UGUGUAGGCGGCUCUCUAAGUUUGGUGUGAAAUCUCCCGGCUCAACCGGGAGGGUGCGCCGAAAACUGGGGGGCUAGAGUGCGGGAUGGGAGAGUAGAAUUCCUGGUGUAGCGGUGAAAUGCGUAGAUAUCAGGAGGAAUACCGGUGGUGUAGACGGCUCUCUGGACCGCAACUGACGCUGAAACACGAAAGCGUGGGUAGCAAACAGGAUUAGAUACCCUGGUAGUCCACGCCCUAAACGAUGCAUAUUUGGUGUAGGUCAUUCAGUUGAUCUGUGCCGGAGCUAACGCGUUAAAUAUGCCGCCUGGGGAGUACAGUCGCAAGGCUGAA